GAUGAACGCUGGCGGCGUGCUUAACACAUGCAAGUCGAACGGAAAGGCCCAAGCUUGCUUGGGUACUCGAGUGGCGAACGGGUGAGUAACACGUGGGUGAUCUGCCCUGCACUUCGGGAUAAGCCUGGGAAACUGGGUCUAAUACCGGAGAGGACGAUGGGUUGGAUGCCAUUGUGGAGAGAAUUUUCGUUGUGGGAUGAGCUCGCGGCCUAUCAGCUUGUUGGUGGGGUCAUGGCCUACCAAGGCGUCGACGGGGAGCCGGCCUGAGAGGGUGUACGGCCACAUUGGGCCUGAGAUACGGCCCAGACUACUACGGGAGGCAGAAGUGGGGAAUAUUGGACAAUGGGCGCCAGCCUGAUGCAGCGACGCCGCGUGGGCGAUGACGGCCUUCGGGUUGUAAACUCCUUUCGCUAGGGAAGAAGCGUUUUUGUGACGGUACCUGGAGAAGAAGCCCCGGCUAACUACGUG
Molecule: ribosomal RNA, 468 nt
Filed under: uncultured bacterium
Lineage: Bacteria
Description: partial 16S ribosomal RNA
Rfam family: Bacterial small subunit ribosomal RNA
Source: RNAcentral